AAGGAGUCUAACAUGUAUGCGAGUAUUUGGGUGGCAAACCCGAGUGCGUAAUGAAAGUGAACGAGUGAGACCACUUAACCGUGGGCAUCACUGACCGAUCUUGAUAUCUCUUGAUAGAUUUGAGUAAGAGCAUAUCUGUUGGGACCCGAAAGAUGGUGAACUAUGCCUGAAUAGGGCGAAGCCAGAGGAAACUCUGGUGGAGGCUCGUAGCCGUUCUGACGUGCAAAUCGAUGGUCAAAUUUGGGUAUAGGGGCGAAAGACUAAUCGAACCAUCUAGUAGCUGGUUCCCUU
Molecule: unclassified non-coding RNA, 291 nt
Filed under: uncultured fungus
Lineage: Eukaryota; Fungi
Description: partial contains 5.8S rRNA, ITS2 and 28S rRNA
Rfam family: Eukaryotic large subunit ribosomal RNA
Source: RNAcentral